CUGCCGGAAGAAAACCCUGUUUUGCAGGGCGUGACGGUACGGCAGGAAUAAGCACCGGCUAACUCCGUGCCAGCAGCCGCGGUAAUACGGAGGGUGCAAGCGUUGUCCGGAAUCACUGGGCGUAAAGGGUGUGCAGGUGGGACCGCAAGUCAGGGGUGAAAGCCCACAGCUUAACUGUGGAAGUGCCCUUGAAACUGCUGUUCUUGAGUCCUGGAGAGGUUGCCGGAAUUCGUGGUGUAGCGGUGAAAUGCGUAGAUAUCACGAGGAACACCAGAGGCGUAAGCGGGCAACUGGACAGGUACUGACACUGAGGCACGAGAGCGUGGGGAGCAAACAGGAUUAGAUACCCUGGUAGUCCACGCCGUAAACGAUAAAUGCUCGCCGUUGUCCUGUUAGGGGACAGUGGCUAAGCUAACGCGUAAGCAUCCG
RNAcentral lists this ribosomal RNA (429 nucleotides) under uncultured Bacteroidota bacterium. Its description in RNAcentral is "bacterial SSU rRNA". It matches the Rfam family "Bacterial small subunit ribosomal RNA", at positions 438 to 871 of the family's 1533-position model. Lineage: Bacteria; Pseudomonadati; Bacteroidota. The record is from RNAcentral.